Unclassified non-coding RNA from Callithrix jacchus (white-tufted-ear marmoset), 148 nucleotides. It matches the Rfam family "Metazoan signal recognition particle RNA". Rfam says of the family: The signal recognition particle (SRP) is a universally conserved ribonucleoprotein. It is involved in the co-translational targeting of proteins to membranes. The record is from Ensembl. Lineage: Eukaryota; Metazoa; Chordata; Mammalia; Primates; Cebidae.
GCCAGGCAUAGUGGUGUGUGCCUGUAAUCCCAGCUACUCAGGAGGCUGAGGUGGGAGAAUCACUUGAACCCGGGAGGCGGAGGUUGCAGUGAGCUGAGAUUGUGCCAUUGUUCUCCAGCCUGGGUGACAGAGUGAGAUUUCAUCUCAA